This 267-nucleotide unclassified non-coding RNA is filed under the name Hevea brasiliensis (rubber tree). Lineage: Eukaryota; Viridiplantae; Streptophyta; Magnoliopsida; Malpighiales; Euphorbiaceae. The record is from RNAcentral.
UAUUCUGAAGCAGGAAUUUCUCAAUUUUCUUUUUAAUUUAAGCACUUGAUUUGUUCAAAUUAAUUCGCUUACUCAAAUGAAUACUUUGUGGGUUAAUGGAAUUAGUGAUAAAAUUCACUUAAGAUUGGUUUCUUGUCAAUUUUUAUACUGAGAACUACCCCGAUUGCACAGCUAGUGCACUACUUCUCCUCUCUUUCUCGUUCUGUUGCUCUGAUCUCAAGUCCAAAUACAAAUUCAAAUCCAAGUGUACUUGGGUGUAUCUAACCC